RNAcentral lists this ribosomal RNA (301 nucleotides) under uncultured bacterium. Its description in RNAcentral is "partial 16S ribosomal RNA". It matches the Rfam family "Bacterial small subunit ribosomal RNA", at positions 509 to 807 of the family's 1533-position model. The record is from RNAcentral.
CAGUCGCCGCGGGAAUACAGAGGGUGCAAGCGUUGUUCGGAAUUACUGGGCGUAAAGCGCACGUAGGCGGCUUGGUAAGUUAGAGGUGAAAGCCCGGAGCUCAACUCCGGAAUUGCCUUUAAGACUGCCGAACUAGUAGGUGAGAGAGGUAAGUGGAAUUCCGAGUGUAGAGGUGAAAUUCGUAGAUAUUCGGAAGAACACCAGUGGCGAAGGCGGCUUACUGGCUCAUUCUAGACGCUGAGGUACGAAAGCGUGGGGAGCGAACAGGAUUAGAUACCCGUGUAGUCCCUGUCUCUUAUAC